This 301-nucleotide ribosomal RNA is filed under the name uncultured bacterium. Its description in RNAcentral is "partial 16S ribosomal RNA". It matches the Rfam family "Bacterial small subunit ribosomal RNA", at positions 509 to 807 of the family's 1533-position model. The record is from RNAcentral.
CAGUCGCCGCGGUAAUACAGAGGGUGCGAGCGUUAAUCGGAUUUACUGGGCGUAAAGCGUGCGUAGGCGGCUAAUUGAGUCGGAUGUGAAAUCCCCGAGCUUAACUUGGGAAUUGCAUUCGAUACUGGUUAGCUAGAGUGUGGGAGAGGAUGGUAGAAUUCCAGGUGUAGCGGUGAAAUGCGUAGAGAUCUGGAGGAAUACCGAUGGCGAAGGCAGCCAUCUGGCCUAACACUGACGCUGAGGUACGAAAGCAUGGGGAGCAAACAGGAUUAGAGACCCGGGUAGUCCCUGUCUCUUAUAC